UGACCCAAACCCUCACCAGAGUAGCAAUUGGAGGGCAAGUCUGGUGCCAGCAGCCGCGGUAAUUCCAGCUCCAAUAGCGUAUAUUAAACUUGUUGCAGUUAAAAAGCUCGUAGUUGUAUUUUUGCGUUAGCGGUUUGACCAUUUGGUUGGUUAUUUCGUUUUCGCUUUUGGGAAUUUCCCUUUUUACUUUGAGAAAAUUAGAGUGUUUCAAGCAGACUUUUGUCUUGAAUACUUCAGCAUGGAAUAAUAGAGUAGGACUUUGGUUCUAUUUUGUUGGUUAUUGAACCUUAGUAAUGGUUAAUAGGAACGGUUGGGGGCAUUCGUAUUUAACUGUCAGAGGUGAAAUUCUUAGAUUUGUUAAAGACGAACUACUGCGAAAGCAUUUGCCAAGGACGUUUCCAUUAAUCAAGAACGAAAGUUAGGGG
Molecule: ribosomal RNA, 425 nt
Filed under: Babesia canis canis
Lineage: Eukaryota; Apicomplexa; Aconoidasida; Piroplasmida; Babesiidae
Description: SSU rRNA
Rfam family: Eukaryotic small subunit ribosomal RNA
Source: RNAcentral